CGGGGUGGAGUAAUGUCUGGGAAACUGCCUGAUGGAGGGGGAUAACUGCUGGAACGGUAGCUAAUACCGCAUAACGUCGCAAGACCAAAGAGGGGGACCUUCGGGCCUCUUGCCAUCGGAUGUGCCCAGAUGGGAUUAGCUAGUAGGUGGGGUAACGGCUCACCUAGGCGACGAUCCCUAGCUGGUCUGAGAGGAUGACCAGCCACACUGGAACUGAGACACGGUCCAG
This 229-nucleotide ribosomal RNA is filed under the name uncultured bacterium. RNAcentral describes it as "partial 16S ribosomal RNA". It matches the Rfam family "Bacterial small subunit ribosomal RNA", at positions 104 to 334 of the family's 1533-position model. The record is from RNAcentral.